AGAUGCGAGAGUAGAGCAUAUCAAUAAGCGGAGGAAAAGAAACUAACAAGGAUUCCCCUAGUAACGGCGAGUGAAGCGGGAAGGGCUCAAAUUUGAAAUCUUCAAGGGUUUCCCUUGACGAAUUGUAGUUUAAAGAAGUGUUUUCUGUUAGAGAGGUGGUAAAAGUUCUUUGGAAUAGGACAUCAUAGAGGGUGAGAAUCCCGUAUUUGAUCACUUUCUACUAACGUUGUGAUACACUUUCAAAGAGUCGGAUUGUUUGGGAAUGCAGUCCAAAAUGGGUGGUAAAUUUCAUCUAAAGCUAAAUAUUGGCGAGAGACCGAUAGCGAACAAGUACCGUGAGGGAAAGAUGAAAAGAACUUUGAAAAGAGAGUUAAACAGUACGUGAAAUUGUCAAAAGGGAAGCGUUUGACACCAGUGUUGUUUUUCCGAAAAUCAAUUACGAUGUUUUAUUUUUGAGAAGUUAUGACUUCAUCGGCUUGCUCUCUUCUUUAUGAAACUUUCUUAAUGCACUUUUCGGUUAACAAGUCAACAUCAAUUUCUUUUGUUGUAAAAGGGUAUGAGGAAGGUGGCUUUCUUUUCGGAGAAAGUGUUUAUAGCCUUGUACCUCUGCAAUCGGAGAGAUUGAGGUCUGCAGCGUAGAUCCUUCGGGGUUAGAUACAUUUGUGCUAAGUUAUAGCUUUUCAUAGACAACUUGUUGACUAUGUUUAGUCUUGUAGCUUACUCGCUUACGCUAUUUUACCUACGCUUAGGAUGUUGACGCGCGUGUGUGCGUG
RNAcentral lists this ribosomal RNA (773 nucleotides) under uncultured Neocallimastigales. RNAcentral describes it as "partial large subunit ribosomal RNA". It matches the Rfam family "Eukaryotic large subunit ribosomal RNA", at positions 23 to 639 of the family's 3401-position model. Lineage: Eukaryota; Fungi; Neocallimastigomycota; Neocallimastigomycetes; Neocallimastigales. The record is from RNAcentral.